This 465-nucleotide ribosomal RNA is filed under the name Vreelandella stevensii. RNAcentral describes it as "partial 16S ribosomal RNA". It matches the Rfam family "Bacterial small subunit ribosomal RNA", at positions 338 to 795 of the family's 1533-position model. Lineage: Bacteria; Pseudomonadati; Pseudomonadota; Gammaproteobacteria; Oceanospirillales; Halomonadaceae. The record is from RNAcentral.
CCUACGGGGGGCAGCAGUGGGGAAUAUUGGACAAUGGGGGCAACCCUGAUCCAGCCAUGCCGCGUGUGUGAAGAAGGCCCUCGGGUUGUAAAGCACUUUCAGUGAGGAAGAACGCCUGGUGGUUAAUACCCAUCAGGAAAGACAUCACUCACAGAAGAAGCACCGGCUAACUCCGUGCCAGCAGCCGCGGUAAUACGGAGGGUGCGAGCGUUAAUCGGAAUUACUGGGCGUAAAGCGCGCGUAGGUGGCUUGAUAAGCCGGUUGUGAAAGCCCCGGGCUCAACCUGGGAACGGCAUCCGGAACUGUCAAGCUAGAGGGCAGGAGAGGAAGGUAGAAUUCCCGGUGUAGCGGUGAAAUGCGUAGAGAUCGGGAGGAAUACCAGUGGCGAAGGCGGCCUUCUGGACUGACACUGACACUGAGGUGCGAAAGCGUGGGUAGCAAACAGGAUUAGAUACCCGUGUAGUC